GCAUAUUUUAUAUGUAGAAACUGCGAACGGCUCAUUAAAACAGUUAUAAUCUACUUGACAUUUUCUAUAUAAGGAUAACUACGGAAAAGCUGUAGCUAAUACUUGCUUUAGCACUCUUGAUUUAUUUCUUGAGUGUGUACUUGUUAAGCCUUAUAAGAAAAGAGUUAUUAACUUAAGGAAUUAUAACAAAGAAGUAACACGUAAUGGAUUCGUCCAUUUCUAGUGUGUAUCAAUCGAGUUUCUGACCUAUCAGCUUUUGAUGUUAGGGUAUUGGCCUAACAUGGCUAUGACGGGUAACGGGGAAUUAGAGUUCGAUUCCGGAGAGGGAGCCUGAGAAAUAGCUACCACAUCUAAGGAAGGCAGCAGGCGCGUAAAUUACCCAAUUCUAAAGAAGAGAGGUAGUGACAAGAAAUAACAAUACAAGGCCAAUCUGGCUUUGUAAUUGGAAUGAUGGGAAUUUAAAACCUUCCCAAAAUUCAAUUGGAGGGCAAGUCUGGUGCCAGCAGCCGCGGUAAUUCCAGCUCCAAUAGCGUAUAUUAAAAUUGUUGCAGUUAAAACGCUCGUAGUUGAAUUUCAAAGAAUCGAUAUUUUAAGUAACGCUUUUUAGCUUAAAUCCACAUAACUGAUACUACGUAUCGACUUUGUGCGCAUUUUCGCUAUUACGUGUUCUUUUAAUUAAAAUGAUUCUUUUUAAGAUUCAUCAUUUGUGCGCUUCGGCGCGUUUUUGGUGAUCUUGUUACUUUGAGUAAAUUAGAGUGUUCAAAGCAAACAGAUAUAGCAUUUGUGCGUUUGAAUACUACAGCAUGGAAUAACAAAAUUGAACAAGUCAGAAUUUUUUGUUCUUUUUUCUUAUUUUGGCUUAGUUACGAUUAAUAGGAGUAGCUUGGGGGCAUUUGUAUUCAGAUGUCAGAGGUGAAAUUCUUAGAUUUUCUGGAGACAAACAACUGCGAAAGCAUUUGCCUAAAAUACUUCCAUUAAUCAAGAACGAAAGUUAAGGGAGUGAAGACGAUCAGAUACCGUCGUAAUCUUAACCAUAAACUAUGCCGACUAGGCUUUGGAUGAAAGAUUUUAAAAUAAGAGAUUCUUUUCCCUUCGGGGAUUAGUACUCUUAGAUUGCUUCCUUCAGUGCCUUAUGAGAAAUCAAAGUCUUUGGGUUCUGGGGCGAGUAUUCGCGCAAGCGAGAAAGUUAAAAGAAUUGACGGAAGGGCACCACCAGGCGUGGAGCUUGCGGCUUAAUUUGACUCAACACGGGAAAACUCACUAGUUUAAGACAAGAGUAGGAUUGACAGAUUAAUAGCUCUUUCUUGAUUUCUUGGAUGGUGAUGCAUGGCCGUUUUUAGUUCGUGAAUAUGAUUUGUCUGGUUAAUUCCGAUAACGAACGAGAUCUUAACCUGCUAAUUAGCGGCAAAUACGAUAUAUUCUUAUGUGGAAUUGCAUAUAGUGGAUUUGUCUGGUUUUGCAGAAAAUAUUGGAAUUACGUUAAAUGUGAUUCCUUUCCCUUUUCUACUUAAUUUACAUUUCCAUCUAUUUCUUUUUUGCGUAUGAAUGUAUUUGCUUGAUUGUAAAGCUUCUUAGAGGAACGAUGU
Molecule: ribosomal RNA, 1586 nt
Filed under: Plasmodium knowlesi
Lineage: Eukaryota; Apicomplexa; Aconoidasida; Haemosporida; Plasmodiidae
Description: SSU rRNA
Rfam family: Eukaryotic small subunit ribosomal RNA
Source: RNAcentral